UACAGAGGUGCCAAGCGUUAGGCGGAAUCACUGGGCUUAAAGCGUGUGUAGGCGGAAUUGUAAGUACCUUGUGAAAUCCCAUGGCUCAACCAUGGAACUGCUCGGUAUACUGCUUUUCUUGAGCCACUUAGGGGCUACCGGAACAAAUGGUGGAGCGGUGAAAUGCGUAGAUAUCAUUUGGAACGCCAAUGGUGAAAACAGGUAGCUGGGAGUGUGCUGACGCUGAGACACGAAAGCCAGGGGAGCGAACGGG
Molecule: ribosomal RNA, 253 nt
Filed under: uncultured bacterium
Lineage: Bacteria
Description: partial 16S ribosomal RNA
Rfam family: Bacterial small subunit ribosomal RNA
Source: RNAcentral